This 268-nucleotide ribosomal RNA is filed under the name Paenibacillus sp. UNC496MF. Its description in RNAcentral is "23S rRNA. Bacterial LSU". It matches the Rfam family "Bacterial large subunit ribosomal RNA", at positions 2649 to 2925 of the family's 2925-position model. The record is from RNAcentral. Lineage: Bacteria; Bacillati; Bacillota; Bacilli; Caryophanales; Paenibacillaceae.
GGGCGCAGGAAAUUUGAGAGGAGCUGUCCUUAGUACGAGAGGACCGGGAUGGACGCACCGCUGGUGUACCAGUUGUUCCGCCAGGAGCACCGCUGGGUAGCCAAGUGCGGACGGGAUAAGCGCUGAAAGCAUCUAAGCGUGAAGCCCCCCUCAAGAUGAGAUUUCCCAGUAUGUAAGACCCCUUGAAGACGACGAGGUAGAUAGGUUCGAGGUGGAAGCGCAGCAAUGCGUGGAGCUGACGAAUACUAAUCGGUCGAGGGCUUAUCCA